Molecule: non-coding RNA, 1241 nt
Organism: Equus caballus (horse)
Lineage: Eukaryota; Metazoa; Chordata; Mammalia; Perissodactyla; Equidae
Source: the annotation of a RefSeq genome assembly
ACUGCUAGUUACAUCAUGAACCUGAGGAGAAGGCUGAGUUUUUGCAGAAGCUGUAACCAGUGUGAUACCUCAAACUGGAUCAAGAUAUUUGGAGACGGAACUAAGCUCAUAGUAACUCCCUCUGAUAGACGCCUUCCUGCAGACACUUCUCCCAAGCCCACCAUUUUUCUUCCUUCAAUUGCUGAAAUCAACCUCCACAAGGCUGGAACACAUCUUUGUCUUCUUGAGAAUUUUUUCCCAGAUGUUAUCAAGGUAUAUUGGAAAGAAAAGAAUGGCAAUACAAUUCUGGAGUCCCAGGAGGGAAAAACCAUGAAGAUCAGUGACACAUACAUGAAACUCAGCUGGCUGACCGUGACUGAAGAGUCAAUGGAUAAAGAACACAAAUGUAUCGUCCAACACGAGAAAAAUAAAGGAGGGGUUGACCAAGAGAUUCUCUUUCCUUCAGUAAAUCAAGUUGUCGCCUCAAUGACCACCACUAUUGCUCCUACAACGGCUGCUACGACAGAGGAAAGGAUUGUCACUGUUACUAAUGGUACAACAGCUUCCCCAACAGAGCAAAGUGUUGUCACCUCAAUGGCCACUACCGUUGGUUCUACGAUGGCUUCUCCGACAGAUACAAGCAAUGUCCCUGCCAUUAUUUCCAGAAAAGUUUGUCUGAAAGAUGAAAUAUCCCCCCUGCAGCUGCAGCUCAGCAACGUCUCUGCCUAUUACACCUACCUCCUCCUCCUCCUCAAGGGUGCCAUCUAUUUUUCCAUCAUCGCCUUCCGUCUGUUCAGGAGAACAGAAGACUGUGACAUGGUAACAGUUUGUAACAGACGGCGGCAGAAGGAAGUCAGCUAGUCUUCAUUUAUUUUCCCUAAAAAUGACCCCUGAGGAUCUAACUGGGCUUUCUUUCUGAGUUUGGGUUAUUUCAGUUCACAUGUGUACUUUUUGUUAUGUCAUUAUUGUGUAAUGGUUUUUCAAACCACCGGGCAAACAGACAGUCUUACUCUGUAACAACAAUGAAUUCUGCCAUCACUCAGCGGCAGGGCCACGGGGUAGUCCUUUAGCACCACUGUCUCCAUGAUCUCCAUCAGCUCCUCCGGCAACCCAAAUAACCAUGCCUGCUGAGUACAGACAGCAUGCAGCUCUAGUCACAUCCCUUAGGGCCAUUUAACCAGAACCGCCUUGAAGCCUUGCAUUUUAUGCAUCCUGAACCUGACACUUUUGCUACUUGAAUUCUAAGCUUUGUUUUUCGUAAU